This 2502-nucleotide long non-coding RNA is filed under the name Triticum aestivum (bread wheat). RNAcentral describes it as "long non-coding RNA (TAES_LNC015003)". The record is from RNAcentral. Lineage: Eukaryota; Viridiplantae; Streptophyta; Magnoliopsida; Poales; Poaceae.
AGCGGUCACGGAAACCUGUCACCCUAUCCGAUGAAUCCCGGAGGUUAGUCGCUCCCUGUCCCACUCUCUUACCACGAUCGCACAACAUGAUCGAAUCAGGCACGGGCUCCCUGCCGCGCGUGUUGUGUUCGACGAAAUGCGCCUGAUUCUUUUUCUUCACGAUCCUCAAUGCGCGCGAGGUCUCGCGAGGGUCACAAGAUCGCAAUUCUGUAGCACGAAAAUAGAAGCCAUCGUGUAUUCGUAUUUGCUUGCACUGGUAACCACAGGCAGGAUGCAAAAGUUACAUUAAUUCGGGGGAGCAUGUGGUAAGGAACUUGCAAUAUCCCAGAACGUGAUGAAUGUAUAUUUCAAUCCUUAUUCUUAAAGGGAUGAUGUCUACAUUACCAAAGCAAAUAUAUGCGUGCAUCAUUCCAUAAUCUAUGUUACUCGGCAACUUUUCAUGAUAUUUAACUCAAUUAGUCUGCUGAAUUCCACCCACUUUAGUAACGUUCUAUGAAAAUGGUUCUGACAAUUGCAAAAUUACAUCGUAUAUUCUUUUUUUCAUAUAAUGGUGGUGCUAUAUGAAGUAUUGCGUGUGCUGUUAUACUGAAUUUCUGAGUAUUUACUAGUUUCUUUUUUUGAGAAUGAUGGCACUUUAUUCAUAUAGUAGCAUCAGGAGAAUGAUGGCACUUUAUUCAUAUAGUAGCAUCAGUACACAUAUUUUCCCAGAUAAGAUCUGGGAUUACACCACGUAGAUCUGACUAAGAGCAAGUUCAUGUGCUGGUACAUUCAACAAACGUUUUACAUGGACAAAAGAGCAAGCACGAAAUUCUGCUGCCAGGAAUUUCAUGUCAGCAAUCAUCGUGCCUACAGAUGACCAAUCCCUGAAAGAAGCACGAACUCUCUGAACCAACGAGAGACAGUAAGCAGCGAGGAUUGCCUUAGAGAAGCUGUCAUCCGGGGUGAGGGCCAGGGCAUUGUGGCAUUCAGAUAGUUGUGAUAGUGGUUAAUUAAGGCAUAAACAAUCGAACCGAAUCAAAAAAUAACUAGAGUUAUGGGAAAAAGAGGUGAAGUUCAUGCAAUGGACCAGAUAAUGUAUCAGUUAUUUAAUUUUAAUAUUUUAGUUGUAUUUUAAAUGGAAAAAUCAUUCUGUUAUAUCAGAAGUUCAUUCAUAGAACAGAUUGCCCAAUAAGAAGGUUUGAACUCAACUGAAUUAGACUUCACCAGAAUGGCCUUGCGUUAUUUGAUCACCUCCUCGCUGGAUGCCCCUUCUCCCGCGUUGUCUGGCAUAGCACACUUGCUGCAUGCAGACUCACGGUUGACAUCCCGACCCCUACGUCCCGGUUCAUCGAAUGGUGGAGUUCGGCUGUGGCGUCCUCCCCUCCGUCUCUGCGCAAAGGUGUUGCCUCCCUGGGUAUUCUGAUGGCUUGGAGCAUCUGGAAGCAUCGCAAUGCUGUCAUCUUCGACGCUGCUGCACCUUCCUCUGACCGCCUCACUCGGUCCAUCCUCGAUGAGGCACGCACGUGGGCUCUGGCCGGAGCUAGAGGAUUGGCAGCGUUUUCUAUUUUUGAGCCACCUUAGACGUUUCUUGUUACUUGCGACUGAGCAUCCUCGCUCUCUCGAUGCUUGUGUGGGUGUAGUCUUGCCCUCCUUGGUGUACGAGUACUGUACCUGCUACCCUGUAUGCUCUUUGCUCUCUACCUAUCAAUGAAAUGAUACGCAGCUUGCGUAUUCGCGAAAAAAAAAGAAAUAUGUUGGAUGAAUUUCCAACAAUCGCUAGCCUUAUGCUGUACCGAUUGAUAAAUUCUUCCUGUCUACCUUUUAUAGUUUCUGAACAGAAUCAGGCUUCCUUAAGACAAGAAGUCGAUUAACCUGUGCCCUUUGGUUAUCAUAUUUGUCGGAUGGCUACACGGUGGCUACCCCCAUCCACAGUUUGACAAACAGUGAUUCAUUUGUUUUGCCACAUCCAUUUUGCAAAUAAAUGAUAUGGGUGAUACUUAUUAUUCUGGUUGAAAUUCCGCAAAUAUAGGUAGGUCGACUAAACCAAAUUUACUUGCACUUCAAAUGUUUAAGAGGCUAAAUUUGUGCGUGUGUCGUUCUUGGCAGGGAUCAGGGGGAGCAGAGUGGUGCACAACAGUGGUAUUACCAAAUCACAAAUCUUUUGCUUACAUCAGCAAGUGGACACCUUGUGAGCAAAACUCAAGCUUAGGUCCAGAUUUCUUCAAUCAGUGGUGCUUCAAUUAUGCGUAGGGAAAUUCAAUAUUCUAUUAUUCAACAAAACAAAGUUUCAACUGUGGUAUUGCAGUUUCAACUUGCGAUUUUCUCCAUACUGUAUAUAGUUUUUUUUUGAGAAUCCAUACUGUAUAUAGUCAACUUGCGAGUAAGUGCUUCUUUUAUUUGAAUCCGGAUUGGUGUGCCACUCUGCAAAAUCUGCAAAUAGGUUAUUUUGUUUGACUGAUAUCAAAUUAUUCAUAUGUUUUCACCAAUUAUUCAUGCUUUAUUACCAGUAAUCACAACAGCAAU